This is a long non-coding RNA of Rhinopithecus roxellana (golden snub-nosed monkey), 3804 nucleotides long. RefSeq lists it as uncharacterized. The record is from RefSeq and is a predicted model, not a curated record. The transcript has 3 exons. NCBI's taxonomy places the organism in Eukaryota, Metazoa, Chordata, Mammalia, Primates, Cercopithecidae.
UCAUGGGUCAAAAACGCGACGCGCGGAGCGGCCUUUCCCCUCACCGGGGUCGAGCCGCCGCGAGGGAACGGAUCGUAGUCGCUGCGCCUGCUCAGAAGGUAGCGCAGCGGGGAAAGGCGGGAGAGCGUUAACUUCUGAGCCUGCGCGGUGGGAGUUGCUCAAGCAGGUGGUAGCGACUUGGCUUCCGGGCAGCGGGGAAAGAUGUCUGAGACUUGCCGGUAAAAUGAUCUGGCUACAAGAUCUAAGAGGGAAAAGCAGUUUGCUCGAGGAGAGGUAUUCGUGCAUUAAGAACAGUCCUGUGUGUGAGAUCUUGGUGGACAGCUUCAAGUUCUAGACCUGUGGCCUGUGGUCUACAGCCGGCCUAAAUAAGACUUCGAAGAACUGUGAAGACGGUUUCAAGUUCCUAAAGCCCUGAAAUUCUCCCCCAAGUUUAGGAAGAGCUUUUGUUCUUGGUGUGUAACACUGAUAAAUGAAUUGGUACCUAGUGAUUAAUCUGCACUUUUAUUGAGAUAUGACAUACUUGACCUUUUUUGAGACAGGAUCCUGCUCUGUGGCCCAAUAGCCCAGGAUGGAGUGCAGUGGCAGAGUUGCAGCUCGCUGCAGCCUCCACCUCCCUGGCUCAAGCGAUCUUCCAGCCUCAGCCUCCCCAGUAACUGAGACUAUACAGGUGCAGGCCACCACUCUUAAUUUUUUUUUGUUUGUUUGAUUUUAAGAGACAGGUAGGCCAAGCUGGUUUCGAAGUCCUAGGUUCCUCCCACCUUGGACUCCCAGAGUGCUGGGGUUACAGGCUUGACCCACUGCGCCCAGCCUGCAUCUUUACAUUCGAAAUAAAAUUCAGUCAAGUUAAAGCCAGUCUUGGAGGAAAAUGUGGCUUCUAUGACAGCAGUAGGGGUUUUCCUUCAGUGUCUACUUACCAGAGGAUAAUAAUAACAGCAAGUUUCUUGAACAUAAAAACAUCAGAAAUGAAAAAGAACUUUCCAUAACACUAUAAAUAUUGCAUUAUUUCAGGAUACUGAACCAGAGCCCUAAAGAAAGGCUGGAGACCCAGAAUUUUAUGACUUUGGAACAUUAAUUUUAUUUUAACCAAAGGACAAAAUUAAUCUGCAAAGACUGUCUUGGAGAAAUUUCAGGAAAUAAAAGAUGAAAUGUUAUUGCUGUCCUCCUUUCCCUCUCCGAGAGAAUAAAAGGCAAAUGCAAACUAUCACAGGGAAAUUUUCACCUGUACCUAAAUUAUUUAUUAUAUACUUUAUAUUUCUGGUUAAUAAAUUGGGAAAGAGCACUCCAGAUAAAGAAGUUCCUUUAUAAAUGCCACAUUUAUUUCAGUACUGGAGGUUCGGUCUUGUGUUGCCACAGAUUUGGAAUGGCAUCUGUGUUAUAAAUUUAGAUGACAGACUAAUAAAAGACUUGUAGAUGAAACACAUGCUUCUAAUAUUCUGGUCCAGAAAAUAAGAUAGAAACUAAAGAAUAAUAAAUAACUUUUAUGAAUUAACUGAAGGACUUAAAAUACUAGUUCCAUUCUAAUAAGUGCCUGCCAAGGAACUGAAAUUGAAAAUGAUCAAAGACAUGAUACAGUCAUGUUACAGGGAAUUCAAUGAAGUAAAAAUGGCAGACAUUGAUGAAUGCUAUGGUUUAAAGAUUUGUGUAGAGGUAGUGAUGAGGAGGCCUGCUGGGAGCCGCAAAAGUUCUAUACCUUGACACAGUUAUGUUUACAUGGAUAUGCACACACAGUAGUCACCGAGCCAUGAUUUGUACUUAUGAUUUGCACACCUUGGUGGUUGUAAAUUGUACAUCAAUCUAAAAACAAAUGAGGUCAGGGUGCCUCACUACAGGAGCUUCAAAAGGGAGAGACAGAACAUCUUUUUUUUUUUUUUUUUUUUAAGCCAUCUAAUAGAGUUGCUUGAAAUAAAUCCUAAUAGAUACAAUGUUUCUAGAAACAAGUAAAUGAAUAAACCUUAGCUGUUACCCUCUAGGAGCCAAGAGAGGUCAAUCUGUUCUCAAGCUUUUACAAAGUAACAAGAACAAGUAAUCAGUGCAUAUUGUGUUGAAACUCCUACUGCAAUACUGAAAACUGCACAUGGAGAGUAGCUCCUUUUUGGUAAUUCACAACGGAGCUAGUUUUCAAAUUACCAAGAAUAUAAGGAAUUAGAUUAGAAGCCAAAUUUAAUUUAGAAUUAUGAGACAUUAUUUGUAAUCCACAGUAUUAUUUUUCACAUGAUACUUAACAAUUCACCCAGUAUGAACUUAAAAGGAAGAAGAAAACACACAUUGCAGCCUUCUUGCUUUAAGAGCGAAAAAGAAACAAUUUUGGUAACUGGAGGGACUAGAAUACAAUGUCACUUUAAGAAAGUUUUGACCCAUCAGAUUGAGAGACAGAGAGACAGAAGGAGAAGGAUAAAUCAAAUGUGGUAAAAUGUUAACCUCUGGGGGAUCUGGGUGGAGGGGAUCUGGGAAUUCUUUGUACUAUUGCAACUUUUCUGUAACUCUGAAAUUGCGUUGUCAAAAGAAAAACAGUUUAUAAAUACUUUAUGACCCAUUUGCUUUAUAAUUAGGAAAACAGAGUAUGAUGACAGAGAGAGCCUACUGUAGGCCUGAUACUUAACAGAAGGAAAGUAGUUUACAUGUAAACUCUGGGAAAAGUGGAGCCAAAUGAUUACACUGUGUAUUGCACAUGAGGGGACAGAGAAGAGUGUGCUUCAAUAUGAAGCUGGGGCUAUUUUACAAACACACCUUCCUAAAUGUUCUUAGUCUCUAUCCUGGAAAAGUCACCUUCUCAGCAUCAUGGAUCAGAAAUACAUAAAAGCCUUAGUGCUUGUGGAAAACAGCCUUCUUCGUUGGAGGGCAGUCUCAACUAACUUCACACUCUGAUUCCUAAAAAAAAAUGGGAAGGUGGGUGUGUACACAUCCUUUAUGUUAUAAAUUUCUUACUGGAAAGAUGGCCUAAAUAUUAGACUUUCCCGAAAGAGUAUUCAGUCUCAUAAAAAUCUCUAAUGGAAUAGCACUUAAGAAUUUCAACUGUGUGUCCACUAAAAAUGGUGUAGAUCCAUUACCUCUCACACAGGCACUCUCCACGAGAGAUUAAGUGAUAAAAACCAAGCUGCAGAAGAUUAUAUUACCUGGAGAGAUACCAAAUUGUUCAGUUGUGACCUCUGGGAAACAGAUGGUGGGAGAGGUUUUGAAGGGGACACUCACCUUAAUUUGGGGGCAUUGUUAAAAAAUUUUUGUAACUUAUAUAGUCUUUUUAAAAUAAAGAACUUAGCCACAAAAUCAAAACAGCUGAUUGAUAUGAAGCACCACUAUCUCCAUUAUUGAAAGGUUGCUUCAAGAAUGCUGAAUAGUUUCAAGUUACAUUUUACAAAAAAUGAAAGGGCACAGGAUGUUGUCUACCUGUUUUAAUUAUGGAAGGAUAAUUGUCCAUUUUUAAAUGGUAAGAUAGUUAUAAAGAAUAAUGUUUUCCAAAGCAAUACCAAAGAGAUACUUUUCCCUUUUAGAAUAGAAAUUAUGGUACCAUGCAGCUUAUUUCCCCAUAUUGAUCAUGUGAACAUUUGUUUUAAGGAGUAAAAGGGUUUGUCAGACUUGGUGUCCAUGGCAUGCCAGAGAUACAGAUUGAACUAUCUCUUGGCAUUUCCAUAAAUAUACAAAAAUUAGCAGGGCAUGGUGGCACACACCUGUAGCCCCAGCUACUCGGGAGGCUGAGGCAGAAGAAUCGCUUGAACCGGGGAGGCAGAGGUUGUGGUGAGCUGAGAUUGCACCACUGCACUCCAGCCUGGGUGACAGAGCAAGACUCUGUCUCAAAAAAAAAAAAAA